This 1681-nucleotide long non-coding RNA is filed under the name Patiria miniata (bat star). RNAcentral's name for it is "uncharacterized LOC119724126, transcript variant X2". The record is from RNAcentral. Lineage: Eukaryota; Metazoa; Echinodermata; Asteroidea; Valvatida; Asterinidae.
AAACCGUCGUAAUUCGUCAGUCCUCUGAAGGUUUCAAAGCCAGUUCCCUGGCCGCAGCCUGGGCCUGCAUGAGGAGUUCAGCCUGGUGGAGGUGCUGAAGGCCGUCAUGAUGCAGCGUGGACUUGGGCCGUAAGAUGAGCGAGUUGGAGAAAAAGCUGAAGUGCCUGCAGAUGCAGCGCAAACUUGUACAAGUAGAGCAAGGUGGCAAAAACGAAGACGAAAAUCCACAAACUGAGCACCAUCAAACCAUCGGAAUUGUGAGGAUCUGACCAGCCCCGAGGUGGACCGUGUCAUCGUCCAGCGACUGAGGGUUGAUGAAGUCAUUGACGUCCUUUACGGCAAGCUGAUGACCUGUUGAUCAUCAAGGGAAUGCGAGACAGGUGAGGAAACCAUACUACAAGACAAGAACAGCAUUUUUUUCUUGGUUUUCCCAGCAUCUAUGAACACAAAACUUUAAAUAGCUUUUCUCUCAUGAGUCCGUCGCAAGCCUCUCCCAGCAGGGCGCACUAAAUCCUCCAACGUCUCCUGAGUCGUUUCGUCCAAGACACCCAACUAGACACCAAAACGGCCCCGCUGAUGGCGAUCCAUGAUGUCCAAUGCAUCAAUGAUGACUCCAGUGCUUACUUACGCUUCUUCGGCGGCUACUCUUUGUUCUAGGCAUGGGAGAGCUCGGGAAGGGGGCGGAGUUUGAGGCUCUGGAAGGGAGGGAGAUCUUGAACAGUCUGCUGUGUAUCGACGUCAAGCUUGAUGGGCUGGAGUCUAGCAACAUGGAACCAUUGCUGUGCCAGUUGCUGGAAAGGGCAAACAUGCCCAGAGAACUCAACAAAUUGAUGAGAAUGAGGUUGAUCACAUUGUCAACAAGGAGUGUGAAAAACUGGACAAGAGACUUGGAGAGGGGGCCAAGGUGAGCUUGCCGACACCCAAGAUUUGCAGAGGGCAGAACUGGACUUGGCUGUUUUGGGCAGAGAUGUAACCAGAUCAGUCACGUUGAAUAGAUUUGAGACUGAAUGACUCUUAGUUAACUUGUGAUGACUUGUGACUGAUUUUGUAAACAGUUUGGCUUAAGGCUCGACUAGGUAGUCUUGUAUUUUCCAGUUAAACAUUUAUUUGCGGUAAUUUUUCUUGGUCAUAUGCGAGACCUGUCGAUGCAAACUUGCAAUUUACACAUUCAUUUUGAAACAAUACACCCAAGAAGUCUGACAUCAUGCAAGUCGUCUAAGUGGUAAGUCUAAACAAUGUCUUGUUCGCCACUUUUACCUUCGGAUUUGCACAGGCAUAAGUUGAACGUGUUUUGAUAAAAAGUAAAUGGUAAGCCCUUAUCGUAUUGAAUUUGUGAUAAAAACUUAACUUUCCCCAUUUUUAUAAAAAUGCAAGGCUAACCCUUACCGUAUUGAAAUUUUGAUGAAAAUUUACGUUCGUGCUAUUUUUUGAUAAAAACUACCAUAAAAACUAAGUUUGUUUUUGCCCCUUUUUGAUAAAAAUGCGAGGCUAAUCCUUUACAGUUUUGAAUAUCUGAUGAAAAGUUAACUUUUGACCAGUUUAUGAUAAAAAUUCAAGGCUAACCACGAACCGGUUCGAAUAUGUGAUAAAUAAUUCUUUUUGUCCCUUUUUGAUAAAAAUGAAAGGCUAAUCCACUACCGCUUUGAAUUUGUGAUAAAAAAAUUUUUGCCCUGUUUUGAAA